RNAcentral lists this ribosomal RNA (440 nucleotides) under uncultured bacterium. RNAcentral's name for it is "partial 16S ribosomal RNA". It matches the Rfam family "Bacterial small subunit ribosomal RNA", at positions 338 to 795 of the family's 1533-position model. The record is from RNAcentral.
CCUACGGGAGGCAGCAGUGGGGAAUAUUGCACAAUGGGGGAAACCCUGAUGCAGCGACGCCGCGUGAGUGAAGAAGUAUUUCGGUACGUAAAGCUCUAUCAGCAGGGAAGAAAAUGACGGUACCUGACUAAGAAGCCCCGGCUAACUACGUGCCAGCAGCCGCGGUAAUACGUAGGGGGCAAGCGUUAUCCGGAUUUACUGGGUGUAAAGGGAGCGUAGACGGCAGCGCAAGUCUGGAGGGAAAUCCCAUGGCUUAACCAUGGAACUGCUUUGGAAACUGUGCAGCUAGAGUGCAGGAGAGGUAAGCGGAAUGCCUAGUGUAGCGGUGAAAUGCGUAGAUAUUAGGAGGAACACCAGUGGCGAAGGCGGCUUACUGGACUGUAACUGACGUUGAGGCUCGAAAGCGUGGGGAGCAAACAGGAUUAGAUACCCCAGUAGUC